Molecule: unclassified non-coding RNA, 568 nt
Filed under: Hevea brasiliensis (rubber tree)
Lineage: Eukaryota; Viridiplantae; Streptophyta; Magnoliopsida; Malpighiales; Euphorbiaceae
Source: RNAcentral
UCAUUCUGGUUGGCCAAUUGAUAAUCAUUCUAUUCUGUCCUGCAAUUUUUGAAAUCUUGUACGUGAUUUUGCUUUUCCUUUUAGAUACAUAUAAGGGGAGAGGGUGUUGGGGAUUGAUUUGAACGAUGCUUAUUAACCUCCUCCAUAUGAUUAUCUACCCAUUUAUGUCAUAUUUUUUUGUUGCACAUUAGACAAAAGGUAAGGACUCACCGUGCAAAUUAUUUCGCAAGGAGUUGUUGGGAACAUACUCAUAUAUCAGCAAUCUAUUGGCUCUGUCAACACAGUAUCCAAUUAGCUUUACUAGAUGUUGGUGAUGGGCCAGGUUAAGCGUCCCAACCUCCGUAAGAAAUUCUCUUUCCCCCUGCCGAGAUGAAAGACUAAGCUUCUUAAUUGCAACAACUUCACCGUUUGAAAGUGUUCCCUUAUAAACUUGACCAAAACCACCCUCGCCAAGGAGGUUGACGUUGGAGAAACCACCAGUUGCCAUUGCUAGUUCUUUAUAAGCAAAGAUUUUCUGUGGAGUAAUUUGUAUCCUCUCAACACCAAGUACAGAUUCUAGAUUAGUAGU